GGGGCCGACAUGGUUUCGACCGGGCAGGGAAGGCUUGGUGUGGCGUGCCGAGGGGCGUGCUGGCCUCGUAAAAAGCACGCAAACUCAAUGACUGCCGAACCGCAGUACGCUCUGGCGGCCUAACAGUGCCGUCGAU
Molecule: transfer-messenger RNA, 136 nt
Filed under: Bacteroidota bacterium
Lineage: Bacteria; Pseudomonadati; Bacteroidota
Description: Bacteroidetes bacterium (bioreactor metagenome) partial transfer-messenger RNA
Rfam family: transfer-messenger RNA
About the family: Bacterial tmRNA, also known as 10Sa RNA or SsrA, is named for its dual tRNA and mRNA-like properties. Its role is to liberate the mRNA from a stalled ribosome.
Source: RNAcentral